Molecule: long non-coding RNA, 453 nt
Organism: Rhipicephalus microplus (southern cattle tick)
Lineage: Eukaryota; Metazoa; Arthropoda; Arachnida; Ixodida; Ixodidae
Source: RefSeq, a predicted model, not a curated record
UUUCCCGAACAUCACAAGACUGCCUUCGAGGUCCCAGAAAAGGAGACAGAAUCAAGCCGACAGGUCUUGGUCACCAGUUAGUUUUAUACAGAUAACGAGCUAUGAAGGCUUACGCUAUCUUGGGUCUUCUAAUUCUGGGCCAUUUGUGCUAUAUUCAAGCGGCCACGCAGAGCAAGCCAGCAACGAGCGCGGACGAAACCACGAAGUCGCUCACGGAGAAACUUUCCUGUUCCUUCCUGGAACACCGUGAAGAACUGCUGGAGGCUCUUCAGGGAAUCGACAGCACAGGCGACAAAACUGACGAGCAGGUCCUUCCAGUCCUUCUUGUGCCCAUAAUCACGGCCAUUGCUGAAGGCCUCAUAUCGGGAGCUGUCGGAGCCGGCGUGGGCAUCGCAGUUAGCAAAGGCUGAAUGCAUCUCCCUGAUCUCACAAUAAAUUCUUCCAAAGACUCAA